Ictalurus furcatus (blue catfish) is the source of this 1800-nucleotide long non-coding RNA. RefSeq lists it as uncharacterized. The record is from RefSeq and is a predicted model, not a curated record. The transcript is spliced from 4 exons. Lineage: Eukaryota; Metazoa; Chordata; Actinopteri; Siluriformes; Ictaluridae.
CAUGUGAACUUAUCACGGUGAUGGUAACCUGAGCUGGGGUGCACGGUGGCUUAGUGGUUAGCACAUUCACCUCACUCACACCUGCAGGGUCGGGGGUUUGAGUCCCGCCGGGGCCGUGUGUGUGUGUGCAGAGUUUGCAUGCUGUCGGGGUUUCCUCAGGUACUCCGGUUUCCUCCCCCAGUCCAAAGCAUGGUAGGCUGAUUGGUGUGUCUAAAGUGUCCGUAGUGUGUAUGUGAUUGUGCUCUGCAAUGGAUUGGCACCCUGUCCAGGGUGUUCCCCACCACCCACCGUGCUGGGUAACGCAUUGCAGCUUGAGACAUUCCAGAUGUGUCACUUAUCCUUCACCUGCUGUACUGUAGGGCUGGCUCUAAAAGUGUUGCGCAUCAUUAAAGGAACGUAGCAGCCAAUUGAAUCAACUUAUACACCACACGAAUCCGUCUUCCUUUCAUACAGCGGCAUAUUUUAACCGAACGACUGGUCUCGUUUGUCUUCGUUUAUGCGUUUACACUCAUGAAUAGUAAAUUUGUUCUGGAAAAGCUCGUUCAAACCAUUUACAGACGGUUCGAUCCAGCUUGAUAAAUGAGGCCUGGUUUUAGACCAGAAUACGUUGAUGAUGAAUUUGGAGAAGGAUGUUUUUUUUUUGUUUUUUUUUCAAGAUUUAUUGAUGCCAUGAAUAAAAGUAUGCUCCAAAAUGAAUCGUGUUUCAGACGUGUUUCAAUAAUGUUUUGUAUUUUGUCUUAUGAAAGGGAAGAAAACUUGCACUAAAUGAAAAGUCAAAAACGACGCCACAGUUUAUAUCCAUGUCCUUCGUACAGCAGGUACAGCAGGCCCACUGAGGCUCCUGAGUGACACCACUGACCUCUAGUGGCCAAGUCGGGACUAACUUUUCCACCAGAGUACUCUGUGUUGUAGCGGCAAUUUAAACAGGACAGAAUUUCCAUUAAAGGUGCAUUAGGUACAAGAUUACUUUUGUUUUUGUUCUUUUUCCUCAUGAUUAUAUCUGUAAUUAUUAAGUAGGUGGGUUUGACAUGUGAAUGUUUUGGUUUUUUCCCCCGCACACACUGCUUGAGAUGAGUGUGUUUGAUUAAGUAUUGCCGAAUACGUGUCCAUGGUUACCGCAUGACCUUUGAGAGAUGCUUUUGCGGCAUACAACACAAACGGUGAUGAAAGUCUUCAGAAACAGGGUGUAAUUACCGCAGAACCGCGUGUGACUGUGGGUUCUAAUGCUAGAAUGCCACUGUAACGUGAUCUCGGGGAAAUAACUUUAGCUAUCGCGAGAUCUAAAAAAAAAACAAACUACAACAAAAAAAGCAAGUUCUGCUCGUUUCUAUAGUAACACAGGGAACCGGUUAAAAACAGAGAGGAGUCUCAAGUGCAGGUUUUUCUACAAGGAAUCAGGUUUGCAGUGAGGACCAUCUUCAUCACACUGAAGUUCCUGGGACAUCAUGCUGCUCAAAAGCAACACUUUAAUAAGGUGGUUUCUGGUCUCGGUUCUGAUUGGAGGAGCUCUGAGCGCACCCGUUAUAGAAAGAGAGAUGGCUAAUGAGAACACACCUCUAGACUUGCUGUUCGACCCAGAGCCUGUUAGGGAUCAUUUUACUCUGAUGGAUGAUUAUGGAGUGAUACCAGUUCCACCUCAUGUGCCAUCAUAUAUCCUCAGGGCACAAGCUCAGACUAGUCCAGCUUAGAGGAAGAUUAAUUCCAUUUUUCCCCCAAAAAAACCAAGUCCUGAUCCCAGUCCCACUCUAUUAGAGACAAAGCUUGAUUCAGAACAUGACAUUAGAAAUGAAUGAUAAAUAA